CACGUGGGUAACCUGCCUCGAUGACCGGGACAACUCGGGGAAACCCGGGCUAAUACCGGAUGUGCUGCUCUCACAUAAGUGAGAGUUGAAAAGGAAGCUUCGGCCUCCGCAUCGAGAUGGGCCCGCGGCCCAUUAGCUUGUUGGUGAGGUAACGGCUCACCAAGGCUGCGAUGGGUAGCUGGUCUGAGAGGACGAUCAGCCACACUGGGACUGAGACACGGCCCAGACUCCUACGGAGGCAGCAGUGGGGAAUCUUGCGCAAUGCGCGAAAGCGUGAUCCAGCCAUGCCGCGUGUGUGAA
Molecule: ribosomal RNA, 300 nt
Filed under: uncultured Solirubrobacterales bacterium
Lineage: Bacteria; Bacillati; Actinomycetota; Thermoleophilia; Solirubrobacterales
Description: bacterial SSU rRNA
Rfam family: Bacterial small subunit ribosomal RNA
Source: RNAcentral